GAAGUCAUUGCGAGGCAGGUUGGAGAUCUGAUCCACGGGAAACGGCAGCUUCACCUGAAAGAACCGAGGAGUUCAAUGUGAUCAGUAUAACCCUAAUUCUCCGUCGCAGUAAUAACCAGGACGGAGAAACUCUGACCUUAACAAACAAGAUCAAGAAUCGGAGAAAAUCCGCCUACUGAAGGCAGGCUGAUGAUGGGUUCAGCGCUGCCUGGCGACUCGCUGUGUCCCAGCAGGACCUGCAGGAAGUAGCUGCUGCUGGCA
Long non-coding RNA from Gambusia affinis (western mosquitofish), 261 nucleotides. RefSeq lists it as uncharacterized. The record is from RefSeq and is a predicted model, not a curated record. The transcript is spliced from 3 exons. NCBI's taxonomy places the organism in Eukaryota, Metazoa, Chordata, Actinopteri, Cyprinodontiformes, Poeciliidae.